UACGUAGGGGGCAAGCGUUGUCCGGAUUUAUUGGGCGUAAAGAGCGUGUAGGCGGCUAGGUAGGUCCGUUGUGAAAACUCGAGGCUCAACCUCGAGACGCCGGUGGAAACCAUCUAGCUAGAGUCCGGAAGAGGAGAGUGGAAUUCCUGGUGUAGCGGUGAAAUGCGCAGAUAUCAGGAAGAACACCCGUGGCGAAGGCGGCUCUCUGGUACGUGACUGACGCCGAGACGCGAAAGCGUGGGGAGCGAACAGG
RNAcentral lists this ribosomal RNA (253 nucleotides) under uncultured bacterium. RNAcentral's name for it is "partial 16S ribosomal RNA". It matches the Rfam family "Bacterial small subunit ribosomal RNA", at positions 524 to 776 of the family's 1533-position model. The record is from RNAcentral.